UGGGGAAUCUUGGACAAUGGGGGCAACCCUGAUCCAGCGACGCCGCGUGGGUGAAGAAGGCCUUAGGGUUGUAAACCCCUUUCGCCGGGGAAGAUGAUGACGGUACCCGGAGAAGAAGCACCGGCUAACUCCGUGCCAGCAGCCGCGGUAAGACGGAGGGUGCUAGCGUUGUUCGGAAUCACUGGGCGUAAAGGGCGCGUAGGCGGCCUGGACAGUCAGAUGUGAAAGCCCGGGGCUCAACCCCGGAACGGCAUUUGAUACUGCCAGGCUGGAGGACGGAAGAGGAGGGUGGAAUAUCCAGUGUAGAGGUGAAAUUCGUAGAUAUUGGAUGGAACACCGGUGGCGAAAGCGGCUCUCUGGUCCGAACCUGACGCUGAGGCGCGAAAGCGUGGGGAGCAAACAGGAUUAGAUACCCCCGUAGUCC
This 424-nucleotide ribosomal RNA is filed under the name uncultured prokaryote. Its description in RNAcentral is "bacterial SSU rRNA". It matches the Rfam family "Bacterial small subunit ribosomal RNA", at positions 355 to 796 of the family's 1533-position model. The record is from RNAcentral.